RNAcentral lists this ribosomal RNA (243 nucleotides) under bacterium. RNAcentral's name for it is "partial 16S ribosomal RNA". It matches the Rfam family "Bacterial small subunit ribosomal RNA", at positions 1305 to 1533 of the family's 1533-position model. The record is from RNAcentral.
CUGCAACUCGCCUGCAUGAAGACGGAAUCGCUAGUAACCGCCGGUCAGCCAAACGGCGGUGAAUACGUUCCCGGGCCUUGUACACACCGCCCGUCAACUCAUCCGAGUCGGGGGUACCCGAAGUCGCUGGCCCAACCGUCUCCGACGGAGGGAGGCGCCGAAGGUAUCCUCGGUGAGGAGGAGUAAGUCGUAACAAGGUAGCCGUAGCGGAAGCUGCGGCUGGAUCACCUCCUUUCUAAGGAG